Penaeus vannamei (Pacific white shrimp) is the source of this 109-nucleotide non-coding RNA. The record is from RefSeq and is a predicted model, not a curated record. Lineage: Eukaryota; Metazoa; Arthropoda; Malacostraca; Decapoda; Penaeidae.
UGUCGUUCCAGCAGUGGUUGUAGUUCCAGCAGUGGUUGUAGUUCCAGCAGUGGUUGUAGUUCCAGCAGUGGUUGUAGUUCCAGCAGUGGUUGUAGUUCCAGCAGUGGUU